Long non-coding RNA from Medicago truncatula (barrel medic), 2246 nucleotides. RefSeq lists it as uncharacterized. NCBI's taxonomy places the organism in Eukaryota, Viridiplantae, Streptophyta, Magnoliopsida, Fabales, Fabaceae. The transcript has 3 exons. The record is from RefSeq and is a predicted model, not a curated record.
ACUCAAUGUUAUCAUCUAUAUAUGUCCUAAAAUAAUCGACAACCUUCUUAGAAUCUAAAACAAAAUCAACAUUAUCGAAAUGAAGGUUUGCUGCCCAAGUGUCGUAUACAAACCCAUCGCUUCACUUUCAUUGACGGCACAAAAUGGGGAGAACCAGACAGUUUUUGCAAGCAUGAAAUUACCUUAUCCGUCUCUUAGACACGUUAAGUCAUACCUUAUUUAGCGACAAGGAAAAUGAUGCAUCUAUAUUACACUUAUACCUGCUAGGAGCAGAUUUUACACAAUGGUGCUCAGCUGCACUACUCAUUCCUCACUUCUCGGUGUUGGAUAGGGUUGCACUGCUUGAGCGAAUAUUUUAUGCAAGUCUCCAUUCUUCCAUCAAGUGCGUUGCACACUCUAUGGCCUGCAUAUUAGUUCCAUCACUUUGUUGCCAAAGCUUCAAGUUCCUCCGUUUGCACACAAUCCAAAGAAUGGCUACAAAUUGUUCGCUUUGCACCGGAGUAAUUUGGUGCAAUAUAGUGAAAACAACAGUAUCCAUACGAUACGAUAGUCCUGACGAAGCACUCUAUCUAUUUUAUCUGAUAAAUUUAUUGCACAAUUCAUCUGGGAGUUGUCAAUUAAGCAACUUGUAAGAGAAAUUUUGCAGAAUUAAGCCCAAUGUUUGCUAAAGCAUUCGGUUUGAGAAAUGGUCUUACUGUGGCAAAAGAAGUGAAUUUAAACAAGGUCAUUGAGGAAUCUGAUGCAGGUGUACUACAUUAAUUUAAUGACUGAGCUGACAUGGCUGCAGUUAAACCAAUACUCCAAGAUUGUAGCACAUCAAUAUCUCGUGAUUUAGUUUCUUUGUAGGGAUAUGAUAAUCAUUUAGCUCUCAAGUGGUGGCUUCUAGAAUUCAUGUUCUAAUACUAAAUUAAACCCCCUCUGUACAAAAGCUGUUUUGCUCUCAAGUGGUAGCGCAAACCAACCAAUCACUUGCUUACCAUUCUAUUGUCUCGAUGAUUGUCAUAUUUUUAUUUUAUUUAUGCUUGAUGUAAAGUUCUUGUUAUAUUAUGCAGCUCUACCUAACUAUGUGAUAAAGAUAUGAAUAAUAUGGCAUAAAAGUUUAUAUGUUUUGAUAACAGGUCUUUUUGCAGGAUAUCGACAGAGAGACAAAGAUUUCUCGUGGGUUUUAUUGAGUCAUAGUGGAUAGCAUAACAAUAGGGGUUGUAUAAGUAUAAGUUUAAUUGUUUUGUGCUUCAAAAGAAGAGUCAUUGUUUUGUUUAGUGCUUAUGUUGAGUUUGUGUUGAUGUUUAUUGCAGCAAAGACAACAACAAAACAAGGAAAACAAGCAUGGAAGCAAAGUGUGAAGUUAGAAGGCUUCACAUAAUCUGCUUAUUUAGCUACAUGGGUGGUUUUGCAGAACAUUAUCGUCUCAUUAGUGUUCUUCGUCUAGCUCAAAACGAUGUUUAUCUCAGUUUUAGAGGUCUUUGCAACAACAUCACACCAGCAAUUGCAGCCUCAUUUGCCUGCAUUUUUCCAUAAUAUCUAAGACAACAACUGCAAUUGGGAACCAUGUUGUCACAACAUGUUGAGUCUAAAAUAACACUGCACUUUUCUUUCUUGAAAAGAUGUUAAGAGGUGGCUUGGUGAAUUGAAAAGAGUUUCCUGCUGGUCCAUUUUCUCCACCUCAUUUUCUUUACAAGUUAUUGAACAAUUGGAAGUACAAGAGUGGACGCAUUUCUGAUAACAAAUGCGUCCUCAAAGGGUUGCAACUUCACACUACCCCUUUCGAUUCACGUUAAUAUUUGGAAACUCAUCGACUUCAUGAAAAGAAAACAGUUACUGAUAUAGUUGCUCAGAAGAAAUAUUUGCAAGCACAGGUUGAAUAGGACAAACAAAACAUGAACCUCAAAUUCAGCAAGAAACUGAUUGAAAAAAAGGAGUAUUUGCUAAAUCAUGUGUCAUCAGAAGUCAGCCAAGAUUCAUUGUUUUGCCGCUCAGAUGACAGGUUUAAGUAAAUAUAAUACAGUUUUAUACCAAAUCAUCCAUGAAAAGCAAGAUAAAUUAUUUUCAGCCAUCUUAUAAUCCAAAAAAGUUGAUAUUAUAAAGUGACACAAUAGUAAGAUAUAAUUAAAUGAAAGUGAACAACCUUAUUUUUUAAUUCACUUUUCACUUUCAUUACAGAUUCAUCGCAUGGAUAUUUGAAUCUAUUUUUAUGGAAUUCUAUUUUUAUUUUAAUGACUAAAUCAAGAUAAACAUAAAAUAUUAGU